This 253-nucleotide ribosomal RNA is filed under the name uncultured bacterium. Its description in RNAcentral is "partial 16S ribosomal RNA". It matches the Rfam family "Bacterial small subunit ribosomal RNA", at positions 524 to 776 of the family's 1533-position model. The record is from RNAcentral.
UACGGAGGGUGCAAGCGUUGUCCGGAAUCAUUGGGCGUAAAGCGUUCGUAGGCGGCAUGUCAAGUCUGGUGUUAAAGCCUGGGGCUCAACCCCAGUUCGGCACUGGAUACUGGCAAGCUAGAAUGAGGUAGAGGUAAUGGGAAUUCCUGGUGUAGCGGUGAAAUGCGUAGAUAUCAGGAGGAACACCGGUGGCGUAAGCGCAUUACUGGGCCUUUAUUGACGCUGAGGAACGAAAGCCGGGGGAGCAAAUGGG